AAUUUAUUUGGCUCUAGUAAGAAGCUAGCGAUUCCUAUAAUUAACACAUAAUAUUAUAAGAGUUGUGAGAGUUUGGGGUUGUUUUGUUUUAGAGUUUAAAAUUUUAAAAACUUUUCAUAUCUAAGUACUAUAAAAUUAUUAAAAAAGUAAAUUUAAUUUCUCAACUUUAGUGAGGCGGUUUAAACAAUUGUAGUAAUACAGAUUUAAUAAAGGGAAGAGGAGAAGGAAAUAAAGUGCCAGCACCUGCGGUUAAACUUUUUCUUUAAGUUAGUUUAUUUGUGAAGGGAGUGAUGGUAAAAUUAAAGGUGUUAUUACUUAUUAUUUCGGUGUAAUGAGAAAAAGUAUCUAAUUUUUGUCCUUUGAAGCCUUAUUCUUACAAGUCUGUUAGAUAGACCAGGAUUAGAGACCCUGUUAUUUAUGAUAUAAUAAAAAUUACGGGGACUAUGAGCUUGGAUUGCUUAAAACUCAAAGAGCUUGGCGGUGCUUCAUCUCUUAUUAGGGGAAUCUGGCGGUUAAACCGAUAAUCCUCGUAACAUCUUACCCUUAAUUUUCCUUACAUACCGCCGUUGUCAGCUAGCCUUAAAGAGAGUAGUAGCACGCGUAAAUAAACCUAAAUUAGGUUUAGUAAAUUCAGGUAGACGUGUAGGUGUGAUAUAAGGGUCUUUGCUGGAUUACAAUUGUAAAACAAUACGAAUGCUUAGGUGAAAUCUUAGGUUGAAGGUGUACUUAAAAGUAAAAUAUUAUAAUUGAGGAUAUUUGAAUUGUGUAACUGAGGCGUGUACAAAUUGCCCGGCACCCCCGUAUGACAUCAAAUUGGGGUAAGUCGUAACAUAGUAACGCUACCAUAAGGUGGUGUUUA
RNAcentral lists this non-coding RNA (859 nucleotides) under Panopea generosa. The record is from RNAcentral. Lineage: Eukaryota; Metazoa; Mollusca; Bivalvia; Adapedonta; Hiatellidae.